AGCGACCUUGCCUCGUGGUGGGGGAUAGCCGGCCCAACGGCCGGGUAAUACCGCAUAUGGUAGUUCUUUCGCAUGGGAGAACUAGCAAAGCUGAGUCGUAAGACUUGGCGCCACAGGGGGGGCUCGCGGCCUAUCAGCUAGUUGGGGGGGUAAUGGCCCACCAAGGCGACGCGGGUAGCUGGUCUGAGAGGAUGGCCAGCCACAUUGGGACUGAGAGACGGCCCAG
Molecule: ribosomal RNA, 226 nt
Filed under: uncultured bacterium
Lineage: Bacteria
Description: partial 16S ribosomal RNA
Rfam family: Bacterial small subunit ribosomal RNA
Source: RNAcentral